This is a long non-coding RNA of Anarrhichthys ocellatus (wolf-eel), 947 nucleotides long. RefSeq lists it as uncharacterized. Lineage: Eukaryota; Metazoa; Chordata; Actinopteri; Perciformes; Anarhichadidae. The transcript is spliced from 3 exons. The record is from RefSeq and is a predicted model, not a curated record.
UUAUGAUAAUAAUACACUUUAUUUAAACAGAAGUACAUGGUUGAACCAGGAUCAGGACGUCCCUCCUUAAUGAACUCCCUGAGUUCAGAUCACUUCCUGUUUUAACUCCGUUUCCUGUCUCUGUGUCAGAUCCCUCCGCCCCCCCGGUGACCACCUCCUCCUCCUCCUCAGCGGUGACUCCUCCUGUGACCUCGGACGUUGUUCCUCCCAAACCGAAGAAGCCUCGAGGCCUGGAGCUGCCCUCCUCCCCCUCCCUCCCCCCCGGCCUCUCCCUGGAUAAGGUGAAUGCAGCUGUUAACAGUCUCCUGGCUCCUGGAUCAGCAACCAACACCCUGACCCCGACCGUCAUCACCUCCCACGCUCUGACUCCAGUCCUCCUGACUCCGACUCCUCUUCCCUCUACGAUCCACUUCUGGAGCACCUUGAGUCCCAUCGCUCCUCGCUCACCAGCCAAACUCUCCUUCCAGGUAAUAGACGGAGCCCACAGCAGCUGAUGAGUCACAUGAUCGAUUCAGCUCACUCACUUCUCACAGCAGCACUGUGGUUCAUUAAGCUCCAGUUUAGAAACAUCGAACAUGUUCUGAAACACUUCACUUCCUCUGUUCUCCGUCUCCAUACAACUCCUUCUCUGAUGGUGUUGGGAACGUAAAGGAGCGUGUUUGAGUUAUCAGCAUUUAAGAAAACUAAAUUAUUGACAUCAAUAGAAUUAUUAAUGUCAGUAAGAUUAUUAAUGAUUAUUAAUAUUAACGGGGCAGCACCCUGAGAUCAGAGACCAAUGACCAGACUAUAGACUAAGUCAUUAGUAUUCACUCACAAUGUGAACAGUCUGAGUGCUGUUACACAUCCAGAGUGAAGGAGAAGGUUUGAGUUCAAGCACAGACCUCACACCAGCUGUUAUCACAACACAGUCAUCACACCAGCUGUUAUCACAACACAGUCAUCACACC